Molecule: long non-coding RNA, 1043 nt
Filed under: Numida meleagris (helmeted guineafowl)
Lineage: Eukaryota; Metazoa; Chordata; Aves; Galliformes; Numididae
Description: lncRNA (ENSNMEG00000010043.1)
Source: RNAcentral
UUUUCAUUUUGUCAUCCCACUCCAUUUGAAUUUUUUUGUUUUGUUUGUUUUUUUCCUCCUAGUGCUGAAUGAAAGAGAGAACAAGGAAAAAGAAAGGAAAAUGAACUUGGACACAACCCAGCACGUACCUCCAGGUCCUGGUCCUUUUGAUCUGGCUUAGUCAUCCGCAGUUGUACUAUGCUGCAUUACAUGAGAAUGGCAACUUUUGCUGUUACAAUUUUUCAUUACAAGAGACUGAUUGAUUCUCCGGUUGUUAGAACAUUUACCUCUUAUGAGGAAGACAGAAGUUCAAAUUCCUGCUUUGAAUCAAAUAAGGCAGGUCUGAUCCCAUGUUUGAUCUAUUUUUACUACUGUGUUACCUCAUCCUUGAGGAAGUCCUGAUUUCAUUAAAGGUGUCCUUGGUCUCUUUGGCUUCAGAAGUCAACACUGCAUACACUGUUAUUACUGAAAAAUGGGAAUUCUUAUCUAUUCAUCUACUUCACUGCUAUGUCCAUGUAGACAAAUUUACUGCAGCCAGAUACGAUAAAAAAACAGCAAAGUUCAGAUGGGGAUAAUCCAGGAUGGAAACCAGGACAAAGUGGAGGCAAUAAAAGCAGCCGUCCUAAAACAAACGAGAUGGAUGCAGAAAACCAGUGCAACUCUGAUUACAAUGUUUGCAGCAAGAAAAUUACCAAGAGUAGAAUGAAGUUAGUGAAAGAUUUGACUUCUCAAGCAAAGCCCGUGGAAAUCCAUUCUGCUCUUUAAAUGUUCAUAUUGUUAUGGCAUCAGAACAGCUCCUAGAAGAGUAUUAAACAAUAUGGUUAAACAUGAAUAAUACCUGUGAUGUUAGUGUUCUUCUUCCUAUUGUUUUUUUUUUCUUUUUUCCCAAGAAAUUUUGUAUGAGUAGCACAGAAUUUCCUCUGAGUUUGAUUGAUUUAGUGACUUUAAGCUUGUGGCAUUAGUUGACACUGAGCUUUACAGUGUAGAAAUUUCACUAACCCUGAGAUAACCGUGCUCAAAUAUUGCUCAAUAAAUCUGAAAACCAACAGAGAGGCUGAGGGCGG